UCAUCAUUGUUUUUGUCAUCAUGUCUUACUUGAUUCCCUAAGUAGUAUUCUCAACCAGAAAAAUAUUUUUCACAAUAAUCCUCUCAACUGAUUGAUGGAGUGUUCUCUACUAUUUUGGGGAGUAUAAAGGUAUGCUGAAACCAAAAAGUUCGAGAACCACUGAUACCAUUAUUAUAAAUAUAACCUAUGUGGUUUUAUUAUGUAACUUGGGCCACUGACUUCUUAGGGAGGGGCAAGGGGAAGAAGUUUAUUACACAGUAAGAAUAACAGUUUAUUACAUAGCAAUAGUAACUGAAACCGAUUUUGUUACCAAGGGGGGUGUUCACCCUCAACCAAAGGGGAUUUAAAUGCUCUAGCCUUAAGCCCUUCAGGCCAAUUCUGAGAGGCAAACUGUAAACUUCUCGGAGUUCUUGGGAUACUGAAUCUUGCAGCAAAGGAUGAAGUGUCCUGACAUUGGCUUUUCCUUCCUUUCUGCCUUACUCUUCAUAGCCUCUCACUUUGCUGUCUGCAAUCACCUGCCAAAAAACUCCCUGCACCUACACUCCUGUCUAGGGGUUUGUA
Molecule: long non-coding RNA, 561 nt
Filed under: Pan troglodytes (chimpanzee)
Lineage: Eukaryota; Metazoa; Chordata; Mammalia; Primates; Hominidae
Description: long non-coding RNA NONPTRT008856
Source: RNAcentral